ACGGGGGGUGCAAGCGUUAUUCGGAUUUACUGGGCGUAAAGCGCGCGCAGGCGGUUUUGUAAGUCAGAUGUGAAAGCCCGGGGCUCAACCCCGGAAGUGCACCUGAUACUGCAAGACUUGAGUAUGGGAGAGGGAAGUGGAAUUCCUGGUGUAGAGGUGAAAUUCGUAGAUAUCAGGAGGAACAUCGGUGGCGAAGGCGACUUCCUGGACCAAUACUGACGCUGAGGCGCGAAGGCGUGGGGAGCAAACAGGAUUAGAUACCCUGGUAGUCCACGCAGUAAACGGUGAUCACUAGGUGUAGCGGGUAUUGACCCCUGCUGUGCCGCAGCUAACGCAUUAAGUGAUCCGCCUGGGGAGUACGAUCGCAAGAUUA
This 373-nucleotide ribosomal RNA is filed under the name uncultured bacterium. RNAcentral's name for it is "bacterial SSU rRNA". It matches the Rfam family "Bacterial small subunit ribosomal RNA", at positions 525 to 896 of the family's 1533-position model. The record is from RNAcentral.